This 73-nucleotide transfer RNA is filed under the name Chloroflexota bacterium. RNAcentral's name for it is "tRNA-Lys". It matches the Rfam family "tRNA". From Rfam's summary of the family: Transfer RNA (tRNA) molecules are approximately 80 nucleotides in length. Their secondary structure includes four short double-helical elements and three loops (D, anti-codon, and T loops). Lineage: Bacteria; Bacillati; Chloroflexota. The record is from RNAcentral. RNAcentral also lists the same sequence under 2 other names.
GCGCCGUUAGCUCAAUCGGCAGAGCAGGGGCCUUUUAAGCCCAAGGUUACAGGUUCGAUUCCUGUACGGCGCA